CAGUUCCUUCCACUCCUGGCCA
This 22-nucleotide microRNA is filed under the name Macaca mulatta (Rhesus monkey). Its description in RNAcentral is "mml-miR-7176-3p". The record is from miRBase by way of RNAcentral. Lineage: Eukaryota; Metazoa; Chordata; Mammalia; Primates; Cercopithecidae.